AUGACAGACCACCUUCAAGUUCAGCAACAGAAGUUGGAGCUACCGCCGGGGUUUAGGUUCCACCCGACGGAUGAGGAGAUCAUAAAAUUCGAUGUGGUCCCCAAGGUGCUCGAUGAAGCCUUCGUCGCUGCGGCAAUUGAGGAUGUGAACCUCAACAAGUACGAGCCAUGGGAGCUACCGGAGAAGGCGAAGAUGGGGGAGAAGGAGUGGUACUUUUACUGCCGAAAGGAUCGCAAGUACCCCACCAGGAUACGAACGAACCGGGCGACGAAUGCUGGCUAUUGGAAGGCCACCGGAAAGGACAAGGAGAUCUUCCACCCACCGCUCACACUCAUCGGCAUGAAGAAGAUGCUCAUCUUCUACAAGGGCAGGGCGCCUAGGGGGGAGAAGACCAACUGGAUCAUGCAUGAGUAUAGGCUUGAGAGAAACAAGCAGCUCACAUCCAACCCGUCCACCGCAACCCGCACCGUCACCAUCACCAAUGCGGCUUCCAAGCCCGCCCGUGGAGAAGCCCUAGCCGCCGCCGCCGCCUCCCGUCCCACUCGCCUCCCCCUCCUCGUCGCCCCUCCUUCUUCUCCUUCCCCGUCCUCGUCGCCCCUCCUCCUUCUCCUCCCAUUGUCGCCCCCUCCUCCUCCGCCCCUCCCCCCUCCCACCCCCCGCAUCUCGUCCGCCCCGGGUGCGGAGGCUAGCUGCUGCACCCACUCCCCUCCUCCAACUCCCCCACCCCUCCUCCAAUGGUGCUCCCUCCCCGGUCGAGCUCUAGGGCCGCCGCCGCCUGGCACCACCUAUGGCCGCGGUCGCUGUUGGCAGCACCUUUGCCCGUCUCCGCCUACGCUGCCGCCUCCUCUGAUGGCCAUCGAAGCCAGGCACCAGCUGCAGCUCCAGCUCCACCUCGGCCCCUCCUCCCCACCCACGAUAUGGAAGAUCUAA
Molecule: ribosomal RNA, 930 nt
Filed under: Triticum aestivum (bread wheat)
Lineage: Eukaryota; Viridiplantae; Streptophyta; Magnoliopsida; Poales; Poaceae
Description: partial small subunit ribosomal RNA
Source: RNAcentral